Non-coding RNA from Paramuricea clavata, 75 nucleotides. Lineage: Eukaryota; Metazoa; Cnidaria; Anthozoa; Malacalcyonacea; Plexauridae. The record is from the annotation of a GenBank genome assembly.
GACCGCGUAGCUCAGUUGGCAGAGCAUUGGGCUAGUAUUCCAAAGGUCGCGUAGGUUCGAUUCCCACCGUGGUCA